AGGAAGGUAGUGUAGUUAACAACCUGCAUUAUUUGACGUUACCUACAGAAGAAGCACCGGCUAACUCCGUGCCAGCAGCCGCGGUAAUACGGAGGGGUGCGAGCGUUAAUCGGAAUUACUGGGCGUAAAGCGCAUGCAGGCGGCUUGUUAAGUCAGAUGUGAAAGCCCGGGGCGUUAACCUCGGAAUUGCAUUUGAAACUGGCAGGCUAGAGUCUUGUAGAGGGGGGUAGGAAUUUCAGGUGUAGCGGUGAAAUGCGUAGAGAUCUGAAGGAAUACCAGUGGCGAAGGCGGCCCCCUGGACAAAGACUGACGCUCAGAUGCGAAAGCGUGGGGGAGCAAACAGGAUUAGAUACCCCUGGUAG
This 362-nucleotide ribosomal RNA is filed under the name uncultured bacterium. RNAcentral describes it as "bacterial SSU rRNA". It matches the Rfam family "Bacterial small subunit ribosomal RNA", at positions 441 to 793 of the family's 1533-position model. The record is from RNAcentral.